Molecule: ribosomal RNA, 465 nt
Filed under: uncultured bacterium
Lineage: Bacteria
Description: bacterial SSU rRNA
Rfam family: Bacterial small subunit ribosomal RNA
Source: RNAcentral
GGCCAGGCUCCUACGGGAGGCAGCAGUGGGGAAUAUUGCACAAUGGGGGGAACCCUGAUGCAGCGACGCCGCGUGGGUGAAGGAGCACCUCGGUGCGUAAAGCCCUAUCGGCAGGGAAGAAAAGCGAACAGGUUCGCCUGGACGGUACCUGACUAAGAAGCCCUGGCUAACUACGUGCCAGCAGCCGCGGUAAUACGUAGGGGGCAAGCGUUAUCCGGAUUCACUGGGUGUAAAGGGAGCGUAGACGGCCAUGCAAGCCUGGAGUGAAAGCCCGGGGCCCAACCCCGGGACUGCUCUGGGAACUGUGCGGCUGGAGUGCGGGAGGGGCAGGCGGAAUUCCUGGUGUAGCGGUGAAAUGCGUAGAUAUCAGGAGGACCACCGGCGGCGAAGGCGGCCUGCUGGACCGCGACUGACGUUGAGGCUCGAAAGCGUGGGGAGCAAACAGGAUUAGAUACCCUAGUAUUG